GUAAUAACGAACGGCAAGGAGUCAGCAGAGGUCGUAGUAGUGAGGAAGCAUCUGUAAUGGAUGUGGAGCGAAGGAC
This 76-nucleotide non-coding RNA is filed under the name uncultured Holdemanella sp. Lineage: Bacteria; Bacillati; Bacillota; Erysipelotrichia; Erysipelotrichales; Erysipelotrichaceae. The record is from RNAcentral.